CGGGGCGUAGCGCAGUCUGGUAGCGCAUCUGCUUUGGGAGCAGGGGGUCAGAGGUUCAAAUCCUCUCGCCCCGA
RNAcentral lists this transfer RNA (74 nucleotides) under Alphaproteobacteria bacterium. Its description in RNAcentral is "tRNA-Pro". It matches the Rfam family "tRNA". Rfam says of the family: Transfer RNA (tRNA) molecules are approximately 80 nucleotides in length. Their secondary structure includes four short double-helical elements and three loops (D, anti-codon, and T loops). The record is from RNAcentral. Lineage: Bacteria; Pseudomonadati; Pseudomonadota; Alphaproteobacteria.